UAGGGAAUCUUCCGCAAUGGGCGAAAGCCUGACGGAGCAACGCCGCGUGAGUGAUGAAGGUCUUCGGAUCGUAAAACUCUGUUAUUAGGGAAGAACAAAUGUGUAAGUAACUAUGCACGUCUUGACGGUACCUAAUCAGAAAGCCACGGCUAACUACGUGCCAGCAGCCGCGGUAAUACGUAGGUGGCAAGCGUUAUCCGGAAUUAUUGGGCGUAAAGCGCGCGUAGGCGGUUUUUUAAGUCUGAUGUGAAAGCACACGGCUCAACCGUGGAGGGUCAUUGGAAACUGGAAAACUUGAGUGCAGAAGAGGAAAGUGGAAUUCCAUGUGUAGCGGUGAAAUGCGCAGAGAUAUGGAGGAACACCAGUGGCGAAGGCGACUUUCUGGUCUGUAACUGACGCUGAUGUGCGAAAGCGUGGGGAUCAAACAGG
This 429-nucleotide ribosomal RNA is filed under the name Actinomycetes bacterium. Its description in RNAcentral is "Actinobacteria bacterium partial 16S ribosomal RNA". It matches the Rfam family "Bacterial small subunit ribosomal RNA", at positions 355 to 776 of the family's 1533-position model. Lineage: Bacteria; Bacillati; Actinomycetota; Actinomycetes. The record is from RNAcentral.